RNAcentral lists this ribosomal RNA (467 nucleotides) under uncultured bacterium. Its description in RNAcentral is "partial 16S ribosomal RNA". It matches the Rfam family "Bacterial small subunit ribosomal RNA", at positions 28 to 507 of the family's 1533-position model. The record is from RNAcentral.
GAUGAACGCUGGCGGCGUGCUUAACACAUGCAAGUCGAACGGAAAGGCUCCUGCUUGCAGGGGUACUUGAGUGGCGAACGGGUGAGUAACACGUGGGUGAUCUGCCCUGCACUUCGGGAUAAGCCUGGGAAACUGGGUCUAAUACCGGAUAGGACCACAUUUUGGAUGGUGUGGUGGAAAGUUUUUCGGUGUGGGAUGAGCUCGCGGCCUAUCAGCUUGUUGGUGGGGUAAUGGCCUACCAAGGCGUCGACGGGUAGCCGGCCUGAGAGGGUGUACGGCCACAUUGGGACUGAGAUACGGCCCAGACUCCUACGGGAGGCAGCAGUGGGGAAUAUUGCACAAUGGGCGCAAGCCUGAUGCAGCGACGCCGCGUGGGGGAUGACGGCCUUCGGGUUGUAAACUCCUUUCGCUAGGGACGAAGCGUUUUUGUGACGGUACCUGGAGAAGAAGCACCGGCUAACUACGUG